Molecule: long non-coding RNA, 662 nt
Organism: Phasianus colchicus (ring-necked pheasant)
Lineage: Eukaryota; Metazoa; Chordata; Aves; Galliformes; Phasianidae
Source: Ensembl
GAAAGAAUGAAGUGUCCUUCAACCAAGGAAAAUACUGUCCUAGCUGGGGCCUGUCAGCGGUGUAGAUUUCUGUUCUGUGGUGCUUGGUAACUUCAUAUGUUCUGUAGGUAGCUGCAGCUAUAUGUUCCCUGUAAACUGCCCCUGGCUUUCAGGCUUUUUUGACUAAAGUCACAUGUAGUCUGAAAGUGUUUUGAGUUGCAUUUCACUGCUACUCUUAAUUAAAGCAUUAUCAAAGUAAAUUCAGAUUCUGAAGCUUAAAAGAUCAGAGUACUUCAAUUCUAAACAUCAGCCUCUUUCAGUUUUGGAAAGUUGAAAGCAUCUGCUAAGGUAGACUGUUGCAUAUGACUUUUCUUCAACAGCAUCUUUCUCAAACUGACAAAACACGGAUGAAGGCCUUCCAUGGCAUUUCUGCUACAGCCUCCUGCACUAGCAGAGGCCUGGAGCCAUCUUUCUACCUUCCUUAUGACUCAGGCUGCCUAGCAACAAGGUCCCAGAGGGGGAACUGCUUGUGGCAGGAUCACAGGGGGCUGGAAGGAGCAGCAACCAUCAGAUGUAGUAGAAAGAAUGGAGUCCAGCCAGCUGUGUGCCAUGCCUGUGGGACUGUGCUUUUGUUCUGCAGGGUGAGUGAGACCACCAGGCAGCUUUGGGUUACCAGGAGAUGA